UGAGGAACAUGACCUUCGGCGGGGGAUAGCCGGCCCAACGGCCGGGUAAUACCGCGUACGACCACAUGGGGACAUCCCUGAGUGGUGAAAGCAGCAAUGCGCCGAUGGAGUGCCUCGCGGCCUAUCAGCUAGUUGGCGAGGUAACGGCUCACCAAGGCUACGACGGGUAGCUGGUCUGAGAGGAUGGCCAGCCACAUUGGGACUGAGACACGGCCCAGACUNUACGGGAG
RNAcentral lists this ribosomal RNA (230 nucleotides) under uncultured bacterium. Its description in RNAcentral is "partial 16S ribosomal RNA". It matches the Rfam family "Bacterial small subunit ribosomal RNA", at positions 118 to 347 of the family's 1533-position model. The record is from RNAcentral.